RNAcentral lists this long non-coding RNA (1361 nucleotides) under Homo sapiens (human). RNAcentral's name for it is "non-protein coding lnc-RNF135-1:18". Lineage: Eukaryota; Metazoa; Chordata; Mammalia; Primates; Hominidae. The record is from RNAcentral.
UUUGGCACUUUUGUUUAGCAUUCCUGCCAUAUGUACUAUGUAUGGUCUAACAAAGUACAUAAUACAUAACAGGCAUUUGGGUACUUUUAUUUUUAUUUAUUUUUUAGAGACAGGGUCUUGCUCUGUUGCCUAGGCUGGAGUGCAGUGGCGAGAUCACAGCUCACUGCAGCCUUGACCUCUCUAGCUCAAGUGAUCCUCCCACCUCAGCCUCCCAAGUUGCUGGGACCACAGAUGCACACCACUAUGCCUAACUAAUUUAAAUAAUUUUUUUUGGUAGAAGCUGGGAUCUCACUAUGUUGCCCAGGCUGGUCUGAACUUCUAGGCUCAAGCAAUCCUCCCACCUCGGCCUCUAAAAGUGCUGGCAUUAUAGGUGUGAGCCACCACGACCGGCCCAUUUGGACACUUAAUACUGGUUCAGCAGAACUGAAUGAAUUUAAUUGGAGAGGAAGUUGGGGUGAAGUCUAGGCCUCUGACUAUAAUGAGAGGUUUGGCACUGAGGGGAGGCAACAGAACAGGGAGUACAAAUUAGGAUGAAUUAAUGACAUGCUGGCAGGAGCUUGAGUAAAGGAAGAAGAGCAGAGGGCCAGGGCCUGAAGUUUGGGUGUCUUACCACAGAGCUAAAGAAGAGUGGGCAAUGGUAGACUAAACUAGAGAAGAAGAGGAGAGAAAGGCACAGAGGAACUUCAGCAACGGAAUGCCAGGGAAGGCAAGGGAGCUGAGGGUUUGGGCAGUUGCAUCCAGUGUAGGGAAGAAGAUCAGGGAGAUAGACAGGCAAAAAGCCAUGGCAACAAGGAAGUAGUUAGGGACUUUCAGAGGAAGUAUGAGAAAAGGAGAGGAAGGUCAUAGGUCUGAAGUUUAGCAGUGCAGUAGGGGGCACUGGAAUACUAUCUUGGGGGUAUGAGUGAGUGCUUUUUCAGGGGUCCUACUUGGGAGAAACAUAGAUAGACAUUCAUUUAAUAUUCAUCCAUUUCUUUCCAGCAUAGUCAUCAUUCUGACAUCAUCUAAAAGAAAUUAGUAUCUGCAUUGCAUCCUUAAAGAAGAAGGGACAAAAGACAUGUCCAAACUGUCUGUCUGUUCUAGUGGAAUAAAACAUUAAUUUAAUAUGUAUUUUGGACAACCACCAACCUAGAGAUUGGAAACUUUUCUCAAGGAUAUAUCUCUCUGUAUGUGGGCUACUGGCUUUGUGGCUUUUCUGUAGGAAAAUUAAAAUUCUAGUUUUGUUCUCCCUUAUCACCCAGUGUCUGUGUGGCUUAACUGGCUGAUUAGCGCGUGCUUGGAAUGUGUAAAUUCAUUUUAACAUUGGCCUAGGGGCCUGUGUGGUAGCUCACCCCUGUCAUCCCAGCACUUUGGGAGGCCAAGGC